RNAcentral lists this transfer RNA (73 nucleotides) under Myxococcales bacterium. RNAcentral describes it as "tRNA-Ile". It matches the Rfam family "tRNA". From Rfam's summary of the family: Transfer RNA (tRNA) molecules are approximately 80 nucleotides in length. Their secondary structure includes four short double-helical elements and three loops (D, anti-codon, and T loops). Further hydrogen bonds mediate the characteristic L-shaped molecular structure. tRNAs have two regions of fundamental functional importance: the anti-codon, which is responsible for specific mRNA codon recognition, and the 3' end, to which the tRNAs corresponding amino acid is attached (by aminoacyl-tRNA synthetases). tRNAs cope with the degeneracy of the genetic code in two manners: having more than one tRNA (with a specific anti-codon) for a particular amino acid; and 'wobble' base-pairing, i.e. permitting non-standard base-pairing at the 3rd anti-codon position. The record is from RNAcentral. Lineage: Bacteria; Pseudomonadati; Myxococcota; Myxococcia; Myxococcales.
CGGCCCGUAGCGCAGCGGUCAGAGCAUCCGUCUGAUAUGCGGAGGGUCGGAGGUUCAAUUCCUCCCGGGCCGA